Molecule: ribosomal RNA, 253 nt
Filed under: uncultured bacterium
Lineage: Bacteria
Description: partial 16S ribosomal RNA
Rfam family: Bacterial small subunit ribosomal RNA
Source: RNAcentral
UACAGAGGUGGCAAGCGUUGUUCGGAAUUACUGGGCGUAAAGGGCGCGUAGGCGGCCUUGUAAGUCCCGUGUGAAAGCCCCCGGCUCAACUGGGGAAUUGCACGGGAAACUGCGGGGCUUGAGUUCGGGAGAGGGAAGCGGAAUUCCGGGUGUAGCGGUGAAAUGCGUAGAUAUCCGGAGGAACACCAGUGGCGAAGGCGGCUUCCUGGACCGACACUGACGCUGAGGCGCGAAAGCUAGGGGAGCGAACGGG